Molecule: ribosomal RNA, 517 nt
Filed under: uncultured bacterium
Lineage: Bacteria
Description: bacterial SSU rRNA
Rfam family: Bacterial small subunit ribosomal RNA
Source: RNAcentral
AGAGUUGAUUAUGGCUCAGGAUGAACGCUAGCGACAGGCUUAACACAUGCAAGGUCGAGGGGCAGCAUAAAAGUAGCAAUACUUGGUGGCGACCGGCGCGACGGGUGAGUAACGCGUAUGCAACCUACCUAUCAGAGGGGAAUAACCCGGCGAAAGUCGGACUAAUACCGCAUAAAACAGGGGCACCGCAUGGUGAUAUUUGUUAAAGAAAUUCGCUGAUAGAUGGGCAUGCGUUCCAUUAGGUAGUUGGUGAGGUAACGGCUCACCAAGCCGACGAUGGAUAGGGAACUGAGAGGUUGGUCCCCCACACUGGUACUGAGACACGGACCAGACUCCUACGGGAGGCAGCAGUGAGGAAUAUUGGUCAAUGGGCGGGAGCCUGAACCAGCCAAGUCGCGUGAAGGAAGAAGGAUCUAUGGUUCGUAAACUUCUUUUGCAGGGGAAUAAAGUGCAGGACGUGUCCUGUUUUGUAUGUACCCUGAGAAUAAGGAUCGGCUAACUCCGUGCCAGCCGCUGC